Molecule: ribosomal RNA, 456 nt
Filed under: Veillonellaceae bacterium oral taxon 155
Lineage: Bacteria; Bacillati; Bacillota; Negativicutes; Veillonellales; Veillonellaceae
Description: bacterial SSU rRNA
Rfam family: Bacterial small subunit ribosomal RNA
Source: RNAcentral
GACGAACGCUGGCGGCGUGCUUAACACAUGCAAGUCGAACGGAGCUAUUUAUUUCGGUAGAUAGCUUAGUGGCAAACGGGUGAGUAACGCGUAGGCAACCUGCCCUCAGGAUGGGGACAACGGCUCGAAAGAGCCGCUAAUACCGAAUGACGUAACUCUUCCACAUGGAAGAGAUACUAAAGAUGGGUCAAACCAUCGCCUAAGGAUGGGCCUGCGUCUGAUUAGCCAGUUGGUGAGGUAACGGCUCACCAAAGCGACGAUCAGUAGCCGGUCUGAGAGGAUGAACGGCCACAAUGGGACUGAGACACGGCCCAUACUCCUACGGGAGGCAGCAGUGGGGAAUCUUCCGCAAUGGGCGAAAGCCUGACGGAGCAACGCCGCGUGAGUGAAGAAGGUCUUCGGAUCGUAAAGCUCUGUUGUCGGGGACGAAAGGAAAGGGGAGGCAAUGCCCUUUCA